Molecule: long non-coding RNA, 246 nt
Organism: Quercus lobata
Lineage: Eukaryota; Viridiplantae; Streptophyta; Magnoliopsida; Fagales; Fagaceae
Exons: 3
Source: RefSeq, a predicted model, not a curated record
UACUAAGUUUUUGCCCUUCUGAUUGAUUUUUCAUAGUUCCAGAAAUCCCCCUACAAAAUUCUCUAAGCAGAAACCAAUGGCUGUCUAAGUGGUGGAAACUGAGAGAGGUGGAGUUAUCAACUUGCUUUCAUUACACAACAUUCCUGAUAAUCUUAGCGAAAUUGGUGUGGAGUAUGUUGAGGUAGGGAUUUAGCAUUUUGAUAUCUGGCUUAUUUGGUAAUACAACCACAAGACAAGGAAAGUCAG